RNAcentral lists this microRNA precursor (101 nucleotides) under Gossypium raimondii (Peruvian cotton). RNAcentral describes it as "miR157a stem-loop (gra-MIR157a)". Its record names the gene gra-MIR157a. The record is from miRBase by way of RNAcentral. Lineage: Eukaryota; Viridiplantae; Streptophyta; Magnoliopsida; Malvales; Malvaceae.
GUUGUUGACAGAAGAUAGAGAGCACAGAUGAUGGUGUGCAAUUAGGAGUCUUGAAGCAAUGCAUCCCACUCCUUUGUGCUCUUUAUGCUUCUGUCAUCACC